RNAcentral lists this ribosomal RNA (253 nucleotides) under uncultured bacterium. RNAcentral describes it as "partial 16S ribosomal RNA". It matches the Rfam family "Bacterial small subunit ribosomal RNA", at positions 524 to 776 of the family's 1533-position model. The record is from RNAcentral.
UACGCAGGGGGCUAGCGUUGUUCGGAAUUACUGGGCGUAAAGCGCACGUAGGCGGACAUUUAAGUCAGGGGUGAAAUCCCGGAGCUCAACUCCGGAACUGCCUUUGAUACUGGGUGUCUUGAGUGUGGAAGAGGUGAGUGGAAUUCCGAGUGUAGAGGUGAAAUUCGUAGAUAUUCGGAGGAACACCAGUGGCGAAGGCGGCUCACUGGUCCAUUACUGACGCUGAGGUGCGAAAGCGUGGGGAGCAAACAGG